CAAAUCUAGGCAUGAUUUGACCUAGUUGCAACAGAACGGGCCACGGGUACCAGACCGACCUCACCCAACGCUGAGCUGCUGGAACGGGACCUAAGCCUCGGUAUACUGUAGCCGUGAUUUAAAGGAAAGCGUCUGCGCACACAGACCGGGAAGGACCCUUAGAGAGUGGAGGUCGGCUCGCUAAUCCUGGGUUCGUCCGUUCUCUGCCAGAUGUCGGAUGCUGGGAGCCGAAGAUCCACAGGGGAGGAAGAGAAACUUGGCUUGGGGUUUUGCAGGUGGCGGAGGUGGGGCCACUGGCCUGAGCCCCUUGGCCCCCGACGCUGAUUUCCUGGGACUCUAACGACCACGGCAUGCAAAGGCAAUGAGAUGGCAUCGCUAGCCUCAUAUCGACAAACGAAGGAACCAAGGCUCAGAGAGGGACACAAUAAACAUCCUGAUGGCGGGGAACAUUUUCAUGGGACCUUCAUCCAAGAAGCAUACAAUCCAUCCACUCAUCCAACAAAUGUUUCCUGAGCACCUGUUAUGUACCAGAUACCGGGCUGGCAGCUGGGGCUGCAGCCACACGUAGCCCCGACCCAUGGAGCACCACUUAAUGGAGAAAAGCAAAGAAGCUAAUAAGCAACCAGCUAAGUAAAUAAAAUAAUUAUAGACCAUGAUCA
Molecule: long non-coding RNA, 659 nt
Filed under: Ursus maritimus (polar bear)
Lineage: Eukaryota; Metazoa; Chordata; Mammalia; Carnivora; Ursidae
Description: lncRNA (ENSUMAG00000015879.1)
Source: RNAcentral